CAGGUGGGCACUCCUGAGACUGCAGAGCUGAAGAAACCACCAACACUGCCCACCCCUGCCCACAUCCCUGGUCCAAGAGGAAACUGUAUACGGCCUCUGGGUUGGCUUGGAUAAGGGCACAGCAGCAGCAGGUCACCUGCCUCUGAGACACCACUGGAACCUGAAGGGACUGACCAGAUAAACAGUUCUCUGCACCCAAAUCCUGUGGGAGGGAGAGCUAAACCUUCAGAGAGGCAGACAUGCCUGGGAAACCAGAAGAGACUGCACUCUGCCCACAUUACUGAUUCCAGAGGAAAACACCAAACGCCAUCUGGAACCCUGGUGCACAGAAGCUCCCAGAAAGGGCGGCGCAGAUCUUCCUGGUUGCUGCCCCCGCAGAGAGCUCGUAGGCAGCACCCCACGAGCAAACUUGAGCCUCGGGACCACAUAUAAUACAAACCUUUCUGCUCCAAGUGACCUGCCAAGUGAACUCAAGACAUAGGCCCACAGGAACAGCUGAAGACCUGUAGAGAGGAAAAACUACACGCCCGAAAGCAGAACACUCUGUCCCCAUAACUGGCUGAAAGAAAACAGGAAAA
RNAcentral lists this long non-coding RNA (578 nucleotides) under Rattus norvegicus (Norway rat). RNAcentral's name for it is "long non-coding RNA NONRATT001715". Lineage: Eukaryota; Metazoa; Chordata; Mammalia; Rodentia; Muridae. The record is from RNAcentral.